Molecule: ribosomal RNA, 581 nt
Filed under: uncultured Bacillota bacterium
Lineage: Bacteria; Bacillati; Bacillota
Description: bacterial SSU rRNA
Rfam family: Bacterial small subunit ribosomal RNA
Source: RNAcentral
GAUUGCAGUAGGGAAUCUUCCGCAAUGGACGAAAGUCUGACGGAGCAACGCCGCGUGAGUGAUGAAGGUUUUCGGAUCGUAAAACUCUGUUGUUAGGGAAGAACAAGUACGAGAGUAACUGCUCGUACCUUGACGGUACCUAACCAGAAAGCCACGGCUAACUACGUGCCAGCAGCCGCGGUAAUACGUAGGUGGCAAGCGUUGUCCGGAAUUAUUGGGCGUAAAGCGCGCGCAGGCGGUCCUUUAAGUCUGAUGUGAAAGCCCACGGCUCAACCGUGGAGGGUCAUUGGAAACUGGGGGACUUGAGUACAGAAGAGAAGAGUGGAAUUCCACGUGUAGCGGUGAAAUGCGUAGAGAUGUGGAGGAACACCAGUGGCGAAGGCGACUCUUUGGUCUGUAACUGACGCUGAGGCGCGAAAGCGUGGGGAGCAAACAGGAUUAGAUACCCUGGUAGUCCACGCUGUAAACGAUGAGUGCUAAGUGUUAGAGGGUUUCCGCCCUUUAGUGCUGCAGCUAACGCAUUAAGCACUCCGCCUGGGGAGUACGGCCGCAAGGCUGAAACUCAAAGGAAUUGACGGAAU